AUAAAACGCUACAACAAAACAUAAGAAAGAAGAAAAAGAAGAGCCGAAAGGGACAAUAGUGAUGGCGGCGCCACGGACAGAGACCAAAAAAAAUCUUGACACUAUUUACCCAGAGGAACAACGGGGGUUUCGUGAUGCCGAAAGAAAA
Caenorhabditis elegans is the source of this 148-nucleotide non-coding RNA. The record is from Ensembl. Lineage: Eukaryota; Metazoa; Nematoda; Chromadorea; Rhabditida; Rhabditidae.